AGUGAACGCUGGCGGUAGGCCUAACACAUGCAAGUCGAACGGCAGCACAGUAAGAGCUUGCUCUUACGGGUGGCGAGUGGCGGACGGGUGAGGAAUACAUCGGAAUCUACUUUUUCGUGGGGGAUAACGUAGGGAAACUUACGCUAAUACCGCAUACGACCUACGGGUGAAAGCAGGGGAUCUUCGGACCUUGCGCGAUUGAAUGAGCCGAUGUCGGAUUAGCUAGUUGGCGGGGUAAAGGCCCACCAAGGCGACGAUCCGUAGCUGGUCUGAGAGGAUGGUCAGCCACACUGGAACUGAGACACGGUCCAGACUCCUACGGGAGGCAGCAGUGUGGAAUAUUGGACAAUGGGCGCAAGCCUGAUCCAGCCAUACCGCGUGGGUGAAGAAGGCCUUCGGGUUGUAAAGCCCUUUUGUUGGGAAAGAAAAGCAGCAGGUUAAUACCCCGCUGUUCUGACGGUACCCAAAGAAUAAGCACCGGCUAACUUCGUG
RNAcentral lists this ribosomal RNA (492 nucleotides) under uncultured bacterium. RNAcentral describes it as "partial 16S ribosomal RNA". It matches the Rfam family "Bacterial small subunit ribosomal RNA", at positions 29 to 507 of the family's 1533-position model. The record is from RNAcentral.